UACGUAGGGGGCAAGCGUUGUCCGGAAUCAUUGGGCGUAAAGCGCGUGUAGGCGGCUUGGUAAGUCCGCUCUGAAAGCCCGGGGCUCAACCCCGGGAGGCGGGUGGAUACUGUCAAGCUUGAGUCCGGAAGAGGCGAGUGGAAUUCCUGGUGUAGCGGUGAAAUGCGCAGAUAUCAGGAGGAACACCAAUGGCGAAGGCAGCUCGCUGGGACGUGACUGACGCUGAGACGCGAAAGCGUGGGGAGCAAACAGG
Molecule: ribosomal RNA, 253 nt
Filed under: uncultured bacterium
Lineage: Bacteria
Description: partial 16S ribosomal RNA
Rfam family: Bacterial small subunit ribosomal RNA
Source: RNAcentral